RNAcentral lists this ribosomal RNA (462 nucleotides) under uncultured beta proteobacterium. RNAcentral describes it as "bacterial SSU rRNA". It matches the Rfam family "Bacterial small subunit ribosomal RNA", at positions 190 to 642 of the family's 1533-position model. Lineage: Bacteria; Pseudomonadati; Pseudomonadota; Betaproteobacteria. The record is from RNAcentral.
AGGAAAGUAGGGGAUCGCAAGACCUUGCGCUUUUGGAGCGGCCGAUGUCUGAUUAGCUAGUUGGUGAGGUAAAGGCUUACCAAGGCGUCGAUCAGUAGCUGGUCUGAGAGGACGACCAGCCACACUGGGACUGAGACACGGCCCAGACUCCUACGGGAGGCAGCAGUGGGGAAUUUUGGACAAUGGGGGAAACCCUGAUCCAGCCAUGCCGCGUGAGUGAAGAAGGCCUUCGGGUUGUAAAGCUCUUUCAGCCGGAACGAAACGGUCACAGCUAAUACCUUUGACUACUGACGGUACCGGAAGAAGAAGCACCGGCUAACUACGUGCCAGCAGCCGCGGUAAUACGUAGGGUGCGAGCGUUAAUCGGAAUUACUGGGCGUAAAGCGUGCGCAGGCGGUUUUGUAAGUCAGAUGUGAAAUNCCCCGGGCUUAACCUGGGAACUGCGUUUGAAACUACAAGGCU